Molecule: unclassified non-coding RNA, 439 nt
Filed under: Hevea brasiliensis (rubber tree)
Lineage: Eukaryota; Viridiplantae; Streptophyta; Magnoliopsida; Malpighiales; Euphorbiaceae
Source: RNAcentral
CAGAAAGUUUCAAGGAUCUAGAGAAAGCUUUGUGUAGUGCUCUUCGUGAAGAAUGUGAUAUUCGCGGAAUAUUAUGCACUGCUCUGCAGAAUUUAAUUCAACAAAAUAAAAGAAUUGUUGAAGGAAAUGAUGAUCUGAAUGUUACUGAAGUUGGCAUUGCCAGACAGCGAGCUAUGACCCACUAUAGCNNNNNNNNNNCAGCAGAUAAUUUGAGUGUGCUAAGGUCAUCUGCCCGUGAUUUUUUGACUGUUUUGUCGGGGGUCCUCUUGGAAUCUUCAAAAGAUGAUGGUGGUUGUUUGCAGUCUAUAAUUAGUGAGUUUGCUUCAAUAGCUGAUAAAGCUGUAGUUAAAAGGAUUUUCUUAAAGACAAUGCGAAAGCUUUUGGAGGUUACACAAAAGGCUACAAAUGCUGAAGCUUCUGGGAAUUCUAAUUCUGCGCG